Molecule: ribosomal RNA, 460 nt
Filed under: uncultured bacterium
Lineage: Bacteria
Description: partial 16S ribosomal RNA
Rfam family: Bacterial small subunit ribosomal RNA
Source: RNAcentral
CCUACGGGGGGCAGCAGUGAGGAAUAUUGGUCAAUGGACGAGAGUCUGAACCAGCCAAGUAGCGUGAAGGAUGACUGCCCUAUGGGUUGUCAACUUCUUUUAUAUGGGAAUAAAAUGUUCCACGUGUGGGAUUUUGUAUGUACCAUAUGAAUAAGGAUCGGCUAACUCCGUGCCAGAAGCCGCGGUACUACGGAGGUUCCGAGCGUUAUCCGGAUUGAUUGGGUGUAAAGGGAGCGUAGGUGGAUUGUUAAGUCAGUUGGGAAAGUUUGGGGCUCAACCGUGAAAUUGCAGUUGAAACUGGCAGUCUUGAGUACAGGAGAGGUGGGCGGAAUUCGAGGUGUAGCGGUGAAAUGCUUAGAUAUCACGAAGAACACCGAUUGCGAAGGCAGCUCACUGGACUGCAACUGACACUGAGGCUCGAAAGUGUGGGUAGCAAACAGGAUUAGAUACCCUUGUAGUC